RNAcentral lists this ribosomal RNA (253 nucleotides) under uncultured bacterium. Its description in RNAcentral is "partial 16S ribosomal RNA". It matches the Rfam family "Bacterial small subunit ribosomal RNA", at positions 524 to 776 of the family's 1533-position model. The record is from RNAcentral.
GACGUAGGGGGCCAGCGUUGCUCGGAAUUACUGGGCGUAAAGGGUUCGUAGGCGGUGUGGCAAGUCGGGAGUGAAAUCUCCAGGCUUAACUUGGAGGCUGCUUCCGAAACUGCCAUGCUAGAGUGCGGGAGAGGCGAGUGGAAUUGCAGGUGUAGCGGUGAAAUGCGUAGACAUCUGCAGGAACACCCGUGGCGAAGGCGGCUCGCUGGACCGCAACUGACGCUGAGGAACGAAAGCUAGGGGAGCAAACAGG